This 512-nucleotide ribosomal RNA is filed under the name uncultured bacterium. RNAcentral's name for it is "partial 16S ribosomal RNA". It matches the Rfam family "Bacterial small subunit ribosomal RNA", at positions 28 to 507 of the family's 1533-position model. The record is from RNAcentral.
GAUGAACGCUGGCGGCGUGCCUAAUACAUGCAAGUCGAACGAAACUUCUUUAUCACCGAGUGCUUGCACUCACCGAUACAGAGUUGAGUGGCGAACGGGUGAGUAACACGUGGGCAACCUGCCCAAAAGAGGGGGAUAACACUUGGAAACAGGUGCUAAUACCGCAUAACCAUAGUUACCGCAUGGUAACUAUGUAAAAGGUGGCUAUACUACCGCUUUUGGAUGGGCCCGCGGCGCAUUAGCUAGUUGGUAGGGUAAAGGCUUACCAAGGCAAUGAUGCGUAGCCGAAUUGAGAGGUUGAUCGGCCACAUUGGGACUGAGACACGGCCCAAACUCCUACGGGAGGCAGCAGUAGGGAAUCUUCCACAAUCGGCGAAAGCCUGAUGGAGCAACGCCGCGUGGGUGAAGAAGGUCUUCGGAUCGUAAAACCCUGUUGUUAGAGAAGAAAGUGCGUGAGAGUAACUGUUCACGUUUCGACGGUAUCUAACCAGAAAGCCACGGCUAACUACGUG